AAGAGAUGGCGACCGGCGCACGGGUGAGUAACACGUAUCCAACCUGCCGAUAACUCCGGAAUAGCCUUUCGAAAGAAAGAUUAAUACCGGAUGGCAUACGAAUAUCGCAUGAUAUUUUUAUUAAAGAAUUUCGGUUAUCGAUGGGGAUGCGUUCCAUUAGUUUGUUGGCGGGGUAACGGCCCACCAAGACUACGAUGGAUAGGGGUUCUGAGAGGAGGGUCCCCCACAUUGGAACUGAGACACGGUCCAA
RNAcentral lists this ribosomal RNA (250 nucleotides) under uncultured bacterium. RNAcentral describes it as "partial 16S ribosomal RNA". It matches the Rfam family "Bacterial small subunit ribosomal RNA", at positions 83 to 334 of the family's 1533-position model. The record is from RNAcentral.